CCUACGGGCGGCAGCAGUGGGGAAUAUUGGACAAUGGGCGAAAGCCUGAUCCAGCCAUGCCGCGUGUGUGAAGAAGGCCUUCGGGUUGUAAAGCACUUUCAGUGGGGAAGAAAGCCUUGGGGCUAAUACCCUCGAGGAAGGACAUCACCCACAGAAGAAGCACCGGCUAACUCCGUGCCAGCAGCCGCGGUAAUACGGAGGGUGCGAGUGUUAAUCGGAGUUACUGGGCGUAAAGCGCGCGUAGGCGGUCUGAUAAGCCGGUUGUGAAAGCCCCGGGCUCAACCUGGGAACGGCAUCCGGAACUGUCAGGCUAGAGUGCAGGAGAGGAAGGUAGAAUUCCCGGUGUAGCGGUGAAAUGCGUAGAGAUCGGGAGGAAUACCAGUGGCGAAGGCGGUCUUCUGGACUGACACUGACGCUGAGGUGCGAAAGCGUGGGUAGCAAACAGGAUUAGAUACCCGUGUAGUC
RNAcentral lists this ribosomal RNA (465 nucleotides) under Vreelandella stevensii. RNAcentral's name for it is "partial 16S ribosomal RNA". It matches the Rfam family "Bacterial small subunit ribosomal RNA", at positions 338 to 795 of the family's 1533-position model. Lineage: Bacteria; Pseudomonadati; Pseudomonadota; Gammaproteobacteria; Oceanospirillales; Halomonadaceae. The record is from RNAcentral.